RNAcentral lists this ribosomal RNA (420 nucleotides) under uncultured bacterium. Its description in RNAcentral is "partial 16S ribosomal RNA". It matches the Rfam family "Bacterial small subunit ribosomal RNA", at positions 362 to 774 of the family's 1533-position model. The record is from RNAcentral.
UUUGGGACAAUGGGGGGAACCCUGAUCCAGCCAUCCCGCGUGUGUGAUGAAGGCCCUCGGGUUGUAAAGCACUUUCGACUGUGAGGGAACACCACUCGCUAAUACCCAGUGCCAAUGACGGUACCUGUAGAAUAAGCACCGGCUAACUACGUUCCAGCAGCCGCGGUAAUACGUAGGCUGCAAGCGUUAACCGGAAUUACUGGGCGUAAAGGGUACGCAGGCGGGUAGGAAAGAAGGAUGUGGAAACCCAGGGCUCAACCUUGGAACUGCAUUCUUAACUGCCUAGCUAGAGUAUGUCAGAGGGGGGUAGAAUUCCACGUGUGGCAGUGAAAUGCGUAGAUAUGUGGAGGAAUACCGAUGGCGAAGGCAGCCCCCUGGGAUAAUACUGACGCUCAGACACGAAAGCGUGGGGAGCAAACA